Molecule: long non-coding RNA, 661 nt
Filed under: Homo sapiens (human)
Lineage: Eukaryota; Metazoa; Chordata; Mammalia; Primates; Hominidae
Description: LHX1 divergent transcript, transcript variant 3 (LHX1-DT)
Source: RNAcentral
CGGGGAGACCGCGUUUAGAGGAUCAGUGGCGGCGGCACCCGCGGCCCCGCGCGGCGCGGACGGCGGGCAGCACCGUGCCUGGGCCCCCUCCUGCUCCGCUCUCAAUCUGGGGCAUGACUUUGAAGGGAAGGUUGCUAAGCCUCCUAAAUCCCGAUACACACCAAUGCCGUUUCCCCACUCAUCUGGAAACCUGGUGGGUCCUGCCCAAACGCCUGUAUGUCAAUUCCACCUCCUGCUUGGCGACCCACCAUGCCCACAUUUUCCACUCAAGCCUUUCAGAUCUGCUUUGGGCACCUGAAGACAGAGAGAAUCAUCUUUCAAGAGUCAGAAACUUUGCACGUGCCAUUCCCUCUGCUUAGAAUGCUUUUCCCUUUCUCCCAAUUGCCUUAUCAUCAGCCUGGGAAAAUAUUUAUUUCGGCUCCUAAAAUCUCAGAUAUCACUUCUCCAGGAGCUUUCCCAGAUGCCUCACUUGAUUCCAGAAGGAGCUAUCGCCACUUUUGCCUGGCGAGUACGUUUUCACCGUUACACUUAUACGCUAUGGCAAUUUAUUGGUGAUUUGUCUGUCUCCCCUACUCAAUAGUGAAUUAUUCAUCUAUCCCUGGAAACCUGGAACUGCUCAAUAAAUGUAUGUGGCAUGAAUAUAAAAAAAAAAAAAAAAAAA